Molecule: ribosomal RNA, 301 nt
Filed under: uncultured bacterium
Lineage: Bacteria
Description: partial 16S ribosomal RNA
Rfam family: Bacterial small subunit ribosomal RNA
Source: RNAcentral
CAGUCGCCGCGGGAAUACGAAGGGUGCAAGCGUUACUCGGAAUUACUGGGCGUAAAGCGUGCGUAGGUGGUGGUUUAAGUCCGUUGUGAAAGCCCUGGGCUCAACCUGGGAAUUGCAGUGGAUACUGGGUCACUAGAGUGUGGUAGAGGAUAGUGGAAUUUCCGGUGUAGCGGUGAAAUGCGUAGAGAUCGGGAUGAACAUCAGUGGCGAAGGCGGCCAUCUGGGACAACACUGACGCUGAGGCACGAAAGCGUGGGGAGCAAACAGGAUUAGAUACCCCAGUAGUCCCUGUCUCUUAUAC